AACCAGUAAGAAGAGAAAACCAAAACCAAGGGAGUGCAAGAGUGGCAGCAGAGAGACCUGUAAGGAGAAAAAUGAGCAGAACGAUACCCAUUCUUAGGUAGAAAUACUUGCCAUGGGUUGUGUGGGAGGGGCAGCGAGGAGGAGGAGGAAAGGAUGACUCCAGGUGUCUGGCCUGAGGCACAGGAGCAUUUGGGGUCACAGAGCCUGAGUGACACAGGGAAAGUGGCAUGAAUGUAAGGUUCGAUCCCAGCUUCUCUGCUGAUGGACAGUCAUGCAGAAGUCCGUAGAUCACCUCUCAGGACUUAAUUUCCUCAGCUGGAAAACAGGAAUCAAAGAGCCUCUCAUACCAGUACUGUCAUGAAAAAGAAACAGGAUGAUGUAUAUAAAAGUGCUGCUUAAGCGUUUGUUGGUUACUUGUUUAAAAAGAGAGAGAGAGAGGUUUCAGGAACCUGCAACAUUCCUAUCCAUCCUUCUCCUGUCAUUUCCCAGGCUACUCAAUCAAUGAUUAGCUCCCAGGCCACCUCCCCUGGGAAGCACAUCAAAGAGAGCACCAGGGGAAUGAAUGGUUUCUCUCUCCCAGGGAGGCUGCCUAACCAGGGUCACAGCCCCUUUCUCACCAGAGGAGCUGGGCCAGGGCCACAAAGCCAAGCAAACUCCCACAGUGUCAGGUCAGCCCUGGGCAGAGAUCCAAGAGGCGGGGCUGACCUGGGCUCCUCUUCACAGCCCAUGAGGGUCAGGAUCACUGGUGCACAGGCCCACAGAUGUGCAGGGGCGAGCUCCUCCGUCUCAAAGAUUGUCCUCACUGGGCCAGGAUAGAGCCCUCCCAGUCCUGUUCAGUGCCACUCUAUUCUAUGAGAACCCCACGCCCUGGAGUUGUGCAGCCAGACCUCUGUGAAUUAAAGCCAAGUUCUGGCUGCCUUCUCUAGUCCUGUGAAGCCCAGGGCUUCUCUAGUCCUAUGAAACAGAUGAAGGGUGUUUUGAGAGCUCUUUCCAUCCCUUUCUAUAAUCCCUGGCAGAAGCCUGCCCCGAGUUCUGCUCUUCCACGUUGCAGCUGCAGCUGGAAAGAGCUCUGAAUUGAAUGAAGGGCUCUUCCACCAUCCUGUCCCUGGCCUCUAGCAUGACUUUGGUACAUAAAGCUGAUGUUCUUACCUGUCGUCCCCAUUAGAUUGGGCAGGGUACACCCUACUCUUUCUUUUUUGUUUCGUUUUGUUUUGUUUUUCAGGGCCACACCUGUGGCAUAUGGAAGUUACCAGGCUAGGGGUUGAAUCAGAGCUACAGCUGCCAGCCUACACCACAGUCACAGCAACGUGGGAUCCAAGCUGUGUCUGCGACCUACACCACAGCUCAUGGCAACGCUGGAUCCCCAACCCACUGAGUGAGGCCAGGGAUCGAACCCGCACCCUCAAGGGUAUGAGUCGGAUUUCUUUCCACUGAGCCACAAGAGACGCUCCACCCUACUCUUUCUGAUGUUCCAUCACGGCUAAGAGCUCUGCCAAUAAUCAUUUCCCACAGAGAUGGUUGUAUUAUAAUGGCAGGUUCUUUAAAAACCAAGACAACUUUAAGAGCCAAAGGAUCGACCACUCUAUUGUGGGUGUACCCAACAUGACCUUAGCAAAAAGGAGCCUUUUCCGUCCUUCUCAGAUGAUACCAAGUGGGCAACAGCCUACUGCCAAGGCUUACCACAGCCUCCCUGUGGAAGGUUUCAGAUGGGCUGGAUGGGGGCUCUUGCAGGGCACUUUUCCAGCUGUAUUCCCUGGCAGAGUUCUCUGUGACAAGGCUGACUUUUCUCACCCACCUUCAAUAGCAAGGCCUGGGUUAUCUGGGCCACACUUUCCACAUCUUCCGAAGGGCCCCCACCUCCUGAUUAAUUGUCACGGGGCUUUUCCACGGCUCCUCUUUCUGAAUGUUAGUGAACAAUAUCAUUUCUCAGCUGGGUGGAGUCUAGAGUGAGGUGACUGAGGCACUUGCCUCAGGGGUAAAAUUGAAGGGGGGGGCACCAAAAAGUUAGUAAUUAAGAUCAACAGUAUUUUAAUGUAAAGAAUCAAAACAAAUGCAAAAGAAUCCAUGAAGAACAAAAAAUGUAAAGAUGACGUUAAAUAUUAUUUAUCUGAAUUACUGUGGUUUUGGGCGCCCCUUUAAACUGCAUGCUGAGAGGAAAGUGCCUCACUCAGUCCGCACCAGUUUCAGUCUAUCAAGAGUGGCCUGUGCUAACCUCAGCUCCAUCUCUAACUGCUGCUGGCUUUAGCACAGACUUUAAGCCACCCGAACGAGAUGGGUAGGAUGGGGAUUGGCCUGGGGCCCUUUUACCUCUUUCAGAAAGCCAUGCAAACAAAUAGGCGGGGGGCCAAGUCUAUUGUUCCAAAGUUUCCACCGGCUGCGAAUGGCUCUUGGGUUCUGUGGUCUGGUGAUCAGAGGGGUAAAGGUUUCUGAACAACUCAAGGCCUUUGAUAUGGUUGCCAACGCCCGCAUUUUUUCAUUCUGGGAACAAUGCCACUGAGGGCCACAGCCGCCCUCCCCCACCUAAGUGAGGAAGUGUCUGCUGGUCAUGGGUGGAGGCAGGUCCUGUGAGGGCAAGGGUCAGAAGGACAGAGGAGCCUUUCUUGCCCUGGCUGCCGGGUCUUUUCCCUCUGGUACCCACCGACCACUCCACCCUUUUUGCACUUUCAAAACCUGUACUUGUCUUAUUCCUCUGUCCCCCUUGGCCAAAGAAAACACACGUCUCUGAUCCGCCCCUUGGAGAAGCUGUCCCCCGGACUUCACAGUGUUUCAAGAUUUCCUUUACGUGGGUUCAGAACCUGGCCCUGGCUCUGUCCUGAAGUCCUGACCCCACCGACGUUUCUUUUUUUCAGAAAAUGCAUGAGGGAGUGAGCUGUCUUGUUAUGGAAGCAGAGGGCCACAACCUCAAGGUCCCCUAAUGAUGCCGUCUGAGGAACUGGGGCAUCACAUUCAUCCACCAAAUCCUUUUAGGGGAGGCACUUUGUGGGGAUGCCCCCCCCAGGAGAGGAGGUAUCUGGGCUAAUUUGACUACUGUUUUGGAGGAACGCAGGUGAACCCAGAGGUAGUUUCCACUACGCAAAAUGUUUUUUCCACUUCCUGUUCUUUGCUAUUUUGCUUUCUUCCGGUGUUAAACCACAGAGUUUCAGAAUCAGAUGAAACUUAGCGUGAAGGCCGGCCACAUGGUCUCCAGCCCCCAGAACCUGGUGACUCAACUAGAUUUCAUGAGGCCAAUCAAAGGACAGGCUUUUGCAAUGACAGGACUCCCUGUCCUGAAUGAGGCUCUGAGAGUAAGUUUGGAUUUCUUGAGAAUUUUCUUCUGAAGGCUGACCUGACGGAUAUUGCAUUUCUUCUGGGAAAGGGUCAGAGGAUUUUCGCUUCAGCCCCUGCAACUCCCUGGAAUGACUCGGGGGGUUUCUUUCACCAACAUCUGGCCUCACAAUCAUCACUGUGAGGAAGGAAGGAAACGCAGCAGAGUUGCUGGACCUGGGAGAGCCCCUUCAACGACAGCAGAUCACACUCUUGGAACCGGAAGUGUGGGCGUGUGUUAUGUUGCUGCGCAACCAAAGGCAACGAAGCAGCAAACCUCAGAAGGCAGAGCCCACUACCGAGGGGGAGUUUCGAGCAUGUCGGGUCCCCCAGAGGCUGGGCCUAGCUCAAUCAAGGGAAAAGUCAGCAUCCAAAAGUCCUUAAUGACGCAGAGGAAGCCAGGGAAAAAAGUCACUGGCAAGUCGUCACUGACUCACAGAACGUCUGAGAAGUGAGCUGCGACCCGCAGCCACGCGAACCCCUCGCUUUCCUGAUAAAAAGGAACCGGAAGCCGGAAAGUAAUGGAUCGGGGCCCUACUGCCAGGUCAGAGCCAGAACCACCGCCCUCCCGGCCUCCGCUUCGUUCUGCAUUAACAGUUUGCAAACUCUCUGUCACGUGCUUUAGUUUCAUCUGAUCCUGAACUGAGAGCAAAUAUUUGUCUUUCAAGGGAGAGGCCAAAGGAGGACUGCUUCCUUUCCUCCUCGGAGAGGAGAAGAAUACUUUUCUAAUGCAAGUCUUAUUAGGAUUAAACGAGUUAAUCGUUUUGGGGAUUCAAGAGAAUAUAAUAAAGGCCAUCCCUCCUCUCUUACAAAGCUCUGGGUAAUUACGGAAUGGUCAUGAAGAAAUCAAACAAACGGCAUGAAAAUGUCAGCUUUAUCACUGAUAGCUCUUAUAUUGGAGUCAGUGGUUCUAUAUGUGUGGGUAAGUGAACUCCAGGAUUAUAUCCAGACGGGCUACCCCCCAGGCUGAGAUGGGGUGGGGGCUCCCAGUUAUGGAUUGUCCCUGUAAACCACUGCAUCAUGGGAGGACAGUGCCAGGAGCAGCUCUGGAGGAGGCUUGCUGCCAAGAGAAAGAAGAGAGAAGCUGAGCUGUGUAUUUGGGGUUCCUACCCCCAUACUCACCACUGAGAAGCUGCUUCCCCCAACCUGUCCCAGCCUCUUGCCCCUUCUGCCUCCUAGGGAGGAGUGAGUCAAGGAAAAAGGAGAGGUCAGGAGUUUCCGUCGUGGCUCAGAGGUUAACGAACACGACUAGGAACCAUGAGGUUGCGGGUUCGAUCCCUGGCCUUGCUCAGUGGGUUAACGAUCCAGCAUUGCCGUGAGCUGUGGUGUAGGUUACAGACGCGGCUCGGAUCCGAGUUUCUGUGGCUGUGGCAUAGCCCGGUGGCUACAGCUCUGAUUCUACCCCUAGCCUGGGAACCUCCAUAU
Molecule: long non-coding RNA, 4728 nt
Filed under: Sus scrofa (pig)
Lineage: Eukaryota; Metazoa; Chordata; Mammalia; Artiodactyla; Suidae
Description: lncRNA (ENSSSCG00015011774.1)
Source: RNAcentral